GAUGAACGCUAGCGGCAGGCCUAACACAUGCAAGUCGAGGGGCAGCACAGAAACAGCAAUGUUUUGGUGGCGACCGGCGGACGGGUGCGUAACGCGUAUGCAACCUACCUUUAACAGGGGGAUAACGGAGAGAAAUUUCCACUAAUACCCCAUAACAUCGAUCAAGGCAUCUUGAUUGGUUGAAAACUCCGGUGGUUAAAGAUGGGCAUGCGUUGUAUUAGGUAGUUGGUGAGGUAAUGGCUCACCAAGCCUACGAUACAUAGGGGGACUGAGAGGUUAGCCCCCCAAAGUGGUACUGAGACACGGACCAGACGACUACGGGAGUCAGCAGUGAGGAAUAUUGGUAGAUGGGGGCAACCCUGAACCAGCCAUGCAGCGUGCAGGAAGACGGCUCUAUGAGUUGUAAACUGCUUUUAAACAGGGAUAAAGCACAGUAUGUAUACUGUGUUGAAGGUACUGUAAGAAUAAGGAUCGGCUAACUCCGUGCCAGCCGCCGCCGUAA
This 502-nucleotide ribosomal RNA is filed under the name uncultured bacterium. RNAcentral describes it as "partial 16S ribosomal RNA". It matches the Rfam family "Bacterial small subunit ribosomal RNA", at positions 28 to 523 of the family's 1533-position model. The record is from RNAcentral.